This 27175-nucleotide long non-coding RNA is filed under the name Gossypium barbadense (sea-island cotton). RNAcentral describes it as "long non-coding RNA (GBAR_LNC009719)". The record is from RNAcentral. Lineage: Eukaryota; Viridiplantae; Streptophyta; Magnoliopsida; Malvales; Malvaceae.
GCACCCCAUACUACGUUGUGUCGUCGAUAUGGGGUGGUGGUGGGGGGGCUUGCCCUAGGUAGGCCUAGCGGAAACCCAUGCCCGGAAGUCGUUACUCAAAGAAAAUCCAGUGUCGACAAUGGUAUUCCGGUGAUAUUUUCUAAUUCAGACUCCAAUGAUCGCGUUGUUCGCCUAUCCUCUGACAUAAACAUAGAGUUCAUUCGCCUCAGACCCAACAUUUGCCGAACAACAACGGUGUGGAAGGUCGAUGAUUACGACCAUUCAGCCGGAAAAUGGUGGGUGGUAACUAAUGGGGUUAAAGGGAACCCGGGUGCCAACACUUUGACCAGUUGGUUUAGAAUAGAGACGGAGCGUAGUCCUUUUUACACAUUUAAGUACUGUCCCGCAGUAUGUGGAACAUGCCCAGCUUUAUGCAACGAAAUUGGGAAAUACACAGAUGGAGAAAUGGUACGUUUUGCUCUCUCCACUAGCCCUGGAUGGUCAUUUUACUUUAAGAAAGUUAAAAAAUCAGCCACGGAGAUUCAACAAGUUGUUCAUAUUUAGAUUGAAAGCAAUCCUUCUGCAUGAACUAGUAGUUACUAUAUAAUAUUAGCUUCAAGUAAAUAAUGCUGAGAGAACUGAUUGUUAAGAUUGCCUUGUUUGAAGCAGCAGCAUGUAUAUAUACAUGCUUACUUACAAGGUUUGUCUCUCAGAGUCCUUCUCUUUGUACUCUUUUCAGCUUAAUGAAUAAACUGUUUACUUAUUUACUUCCUUUGUUACCAUUGAUUCUAGUAUUAGACUCAUUAACUCGGAUACGGUGCCUUGUAAUUAACCAAAAAGUUAUAUAUAUAUAAAGUGUGUGAGAGAGGAAAAUAGACUAUCAAGUGCCAAGUAAAAAAUGUUAAUACUAGGAUUAUCGAGAGCGAUUUCAACGGACAACAUGAGUGGAAUAGUCGUUGGAUGGUUACGACAUUUUAUCUUUAGAGACAAAGAAGGGUUGUUCCGUAUUCGGAGUUCGUGGCUACUCCUUCAAUAAUGCCUUUUCAAAAUUUAAACUUGCAUCAUCCUUUGAACACGUAAUGUGUCUUACCAUUACACCCAACAAUAUUAAUGACUUACUCUAUUGUAUUCUGUCCUAUUAUUAAUUAAUGAUUAUGAUAUAUAUUAAGUUUAAGAUAAAUUUUCUUAUUAAUGUAUAUCAAUUGAAUCAAAUAUUUGUUUUUAAAGUUUUAACUCCACAUUAAUUUUUUUAAUUUGUCCGUUUAUUCGCAGUGAUUAGGAGAUUAAUAGUUGUCUUUAUGGUUGGUAGCUUUUUAACUCAAUAGGGAACUUGGGUUGAUAUGGGCUCGACUCCACCUAAAUAAAAAAAAUGUAUUUAAAUCUCUUUAUAAUUUAUAAAAUUUUAAAUUAAUAAUAAUAAAAUUAUAUUUUAACUCUAUGAACCAGCAAAAUUUGUACAAUUGAUGAUAAUAAUGUUAAGAAGAUGUUUACUGCCACGUGGAAAUUUUUGGAAUCGUCCAUUUGUUUUUAUAUUUGUCAAUUUGCUUGAAUGGUUAAGAGUAGAAAGACAAACUAUAAUUAAGUAUACAAAACCAAACAAAUUUCAAGGCUUUUCUCUUCAAUUAUUGUCGACCUUAGCUAAAUUAUAUUAAUAGUGACUUAUUUGUUAGUAAUUUUUUAUUAUUUAAUUAUAAAAAAAUUAUGAAAUAAUUAUUUAACUAUAAAAUAUAUAUAUAAAAUAGUCAUUUAACUAUUCACUUAUUUUCUUUUUUUAUCAGCACGAUAAUUUUUAUAAGUAGUAUAAUAACAACUUUAAUCAUCAAUAGUUAUAUAUUAUGUUAAUUUAAUCUUAAUUUUAAAACAUUUAACUCUUAAUAUUUUCACAUUGUGUAAUUUAGUCAUUUUUAUAAUUUUACUUUUCUUUGUGGUAGAUAUAGCACUUCUCUAUAACAAAUAAAAUUGAAAUAAACAAAUGGAAUUAUUAUAAUGUAUUUUUCAAUUUUCUAAAGUGGUUCUAUUAAUUUACUUGGUCAUCCUUUCCCACCUCUAUAAAUUGACAUGGAGAUCUAAAGCAACACAUACCAACACAAUUGACCUGUAUAACCAUGAAAACCACAAAAGCUUCUGUGUUUCUUCUUUUCAUCAUCUUCUCAGUCACACCAUCAUCCUUUUUGUUUGGUGGGGCCAACGCUACAAACGAACCUGUGCUCGACACUGAUGGCAACGAAGUCCAAACAGGUACCGAAUAUUACGUUGUGUCGGCGAUAUGGGGUGCUGGUGGUGGGGGGCUUGCCCUAGGCAGGCCUAGCGGAAGCCCAUGCCUGGAAGUCGUUGCUUAUUAGAAGCUACCCAUAUCUUUGAAAAGUCAAAGAUAUGGGUGUUAGAAAGUUGGAACCGAAAAUAAAAGAAUUUAUGGCACCGAAAUUUGGUUUGAAAUUUGGCAUGGAAUAAUUGCAAUUUUGGUCCCUAAUUGUAUAGGGACUUUGCAAGUUGGCCCUUGAACCUCAACUAUAAAUAGGCCUAAUCAUUUCUCAUUUUCUUCAUCCCAUAUUUAUUAUUCUCUACUUAAAGCAUUAUUCUCUGUCCAUAUUUGUAAAUUUCACUUGUAUUUUUGGAGUGAAAUAUAUUUGGUAGUGCCCGGGGACGUAGGCAAAAUUUGCCGAACCUCGUUAAAAUUCUGGUGUUCUUUAUUAUUUAUUUUUGCAUAUUUUGUGAAUGUCAUUGUAGUGAUUUAUUGUGCUAUUAAAUUACGAUAGAGGGAUAUUAUGGCUAGUAAAGACCUGGUACUUAAGUGAUCCUCGUGAUCUGUAAUAGCCUAAAUUUUUAGUGGUGUUGAAACAGUGAUUCGAGAUCACUAAAUCCAAAAAAUGAGUAGAAAAUAUUAAUAAUUUAGUGAAUAUAAGUUAAAUGUGAAGUUAGGAAAAUUUUUGAAAUAGCGAAUAGUGUACUAGAAAUAAAAAUUAAAUUAGAAUCGGAAACGAGAUAUCGAGAGUUUGAAAAUUUUUAAAACGAGCCAUAAAUAUUUUUAUAAAUAUUUAUGGAGUGUUAAUAAGUUAGUAGUAAAGUUUCGUCAAGAAAUUUUAAAGUUUCGAUAGUUAAUUGAAUAAAAAGGAUUAAAUUGUAACAAAUGUAAAAUUAUGGGAAAUGAUUAAAUAGCUUAAUUGAUAAAAGAAAGAGGGUUUAAAAGGAAAAUAGACCCAAGGUAUAUUUGGGAUGGACGGCAAGGUGUAUGAAAUCAGCAGGAAAAUUGAUGAAUUAAGGGCAAAAUUGAAAUAUUGCAAAAUUUACUUAAUAAACUAGGACUAAAGUGGAAUUAUCUAGAAUUCUCACUAUUUUUCUGCAUUCUCAUAAGCAAAAACACCAUAGAAGGGUUUUCUUAAGCUGGUUUUUUAUAUUUUUACUGCAAGUAAGUUCAAUUCUUGAUUAUUUCUUGAAAUUUUUGUGUUUUUAUGACUUUUACAACUAGGUCCACUUGUUGAAUUCAUUAGUUUUUGAUUCUAUGAAAGAAAUUGGAAGUUGUUAUGAAUAUCUGUUGGAAGUAUAUGAUGAUUUAGCAUGGAAUUAGUGUUUUAAAUUGUUUAUAUGCUGAUUUUAUUGAAAGAAUUGAAUAGAAAGUGAAUGUUUGGGACCUAAUGGUGAAAGAGUUUGAAGUUAGUGUUUUAUGUGGAAAUUAUGAAUUUAAAUAAUUUUUAAAUAACUUAUAAUGUCUAGGUAAAGAAUUAAUUGGGAAAAAUUAGCUUCAUUGAGGGAUUAAUUGAGCAAGGACUAAAUUGUAUGAACUGUGAAAUUUGGGGCAAAAACCGAAAUCAACAUUUGCACUAAAACAGUUUUGGACAGCAGCAAUAGUCUAACUUUUAAAAAUCACCAUAAAUUUUAGAAAUCGAAUUAGAAGAUGAAAAAAAGGUGAAAUUAAAGCUUACUGAGUCUAGUUUCUCAUAGAAGAAACAGUGUAAGCAACGGAAUUGUAGAUCAUGAGAUAUAAUAGAUUUUGUGAGACACUGUCAGAAUGAUUUCGGGUUCCCCUGUUCUGACUUUGGAAAAUCAUCAAAAAUUGUAGAAAAAUAAUUAGGGGCUUAAAUUUAUAUUUUUAAAAUCCUUAAUGGGUCUAUUUUCAAUAGAAACAAACAUGGACAUCAUCCAAAUUCUGUACGAAGAGAUAAUUAAUUUUUAGUGAAGUGUUGGAAUUGUUAGACAGCAGAAUAGGGGUGACUUUAAAGAAUAAACUAUACUUAUUGGCUAAACAAAAAAUUCUAAAAAUUUAUGAUAAGAAGAUAUAUGAGUCUAGUUUCAGGGAAAAUUAGCUAAUCCUAAUUUGGAGUUCUGUAGCUAAAAAUAAAAAUAAUUUAGUGACUAUGGCACCGAUGGACAGCAUUGGAAUAUACAUAAGUAAACAAUUAAAUUAUAGAUAAUAUUACUUAUAAGUGGGUUGAAGAUGAAGUCAAUACUGAUAAGUGAAUGAUUUUACAAUGAUAGAUCGAGAACCCGAAGCAAGUCGAGGAAAAGAAAAAGUAGCUGAUUAGUCCCUGAACUUUCACAAAUUUUACAAAUCGACCCAGGUAAGUUCAUAUGGUUGAAGUUUAAUGAUUAUAUGUAAAUUUUAUGAAUUAUAUAAUGUAUGAUGAAAUAUAUUUAUUGAUGAAUAGAGAAUAAAAUAACAACCCGAAAAUCAAAUAAAUGAUCAAAUUGAGCGGAACGUCGGAUUUGAGUACUUCUGAUCAGUGACAAGUGAUAACUGGUAGCCUCAGCUACAGUUAUCUGAUCAGUGAUAAGUGACAAUUAGUGAUAAGUGGUAGCUUUAGCUACACUUAUCUGAUCAGUGACAAGUGAUAAAUGUGAUCAGUGUAAGACUGUGGCAGGACUAUGACUUCAAAAAGUGAUAAGUGAUCAUACGCAAGACCAUAGUUAUACUAUGGCAAAGUGAAAGUGAAGUACUCAAUUUUCCGUAACCGUUCCCUAAUUUGGUUGAAGAAUGAUAUGUGACAAACGGGCCAAAAAGAAUUAAAGGAAAUGGAUGAGUGGUAGUAAGUUUAUACAAAGGGAACUCACCAAUGACUGUGGUUGACAGGUGAACUUAAUAGUUGUGUAUAUUGUAUAAGUGUAUAAAUAUUUGGUAAGAUUUAUGUUUUAUGUAACGCCCCAAUUUUCGGGAAUCCUGUGAAUGUUGGCAUAGGUUUAAUUAUGUUAGUGGGCCUCUAGAAGGCCCAAGCUUAAGAUAGAACCCGACAAUUUUAGUUAAUUUUUGUUCCAUAAGAAAAAGGGGGUGAAAUUAUGAAAUAAAACCUAUGUGAAAAUGUUUGAAAAUGCUAUAGGCUAAAUUGAAGUGGCCAAAUAAAUAGGAGUGCAAAAUAGGAGGAUUUGCAUGACAAACCUCCCAUUUUACAUGAAGUGGCCAGCCAUCAUGUUGUUGUAGACAAAAUGUGCACUUGAUAUCCAUAAUUUAUGGUACAAAUUGAUACAAAUUGAUAAUAGGUUAGGUAAAUGUUUCAUGAUAAUGGGUUAGGUAAAUGUUUCAUGAUAAGAAUUUCAUGUCUUUUGUAUUAAAGAAUUAAAUGGAUGAAAUAUAAAGUUUUAUUAAAAGAAAAAGGGGUGAAAAGAACAAAGUUUUGUCCAUCUUUGUUCAUCAUAGCUGAAAGUUAGAGAAGAGAAAGGAGAGUAGAAAGCUCUUGAGUAUUCGGUCAUUAGGAGGAGGAAAAUUGAAGGUAAGUUCUUGGUACCUUGCUUCUAUUUUGAGGUUCAUGAGUUCUUCUUGAUUCUACCUUAACUCUUGAAGUAUAUUUUGAUUUUUGGUUGUGUUGUGAGCAUUUGGUCAUGAAUUAAAAUGAAGGAAAUGGUUGUUGUUUCAUGUUCUUUUGAUGAAAAAUGGAAGAUAUGUAAAGUUGAGCCAAACAAAUGAGCAUGCAUGUGCCUUAGAUGCUAAAGGGAAAAAUCGGUUAACAUGUUGUGCUUUAGAUUAUGCUUAAGUAGAAAUCAUAGAUAUGUGAUGAUUGAUUGGUGAUAUACAUGUUUAAAUAACAUGCAUGCAAGAUAGGUGUAUGAAAGAGUGAUUUGGUAAUAAAUCUGCUUGGGACAGCAGCAGUAACGUGACUUUGAAAAAUCACCAUAAAUUUUGGGAGAUGAAUUAGAAGCUGAAUAAAUUAUGUAAUUAAAGCUUAUUGAGUCUUGUUUCUAAUGAAAUAAACAAGAACAUAUUUUGAAUUCUGUACAAUGAGAAAUUUGAUUCAUAAUGAAGAGUGGUCAGAUUAGUCAAACAGUGAAACAUGAGAAACUUCGAGAAAAAUCUGGUAUUGAUUGGCUAAACCAAAAAUUCUGAAAAUUUUAUGGAUAGAAGAUAUAUGAGUCUAUUUUCAAGGAAAAUUAACGGAACUUGAUUUGGAGUUUCGUAGCUCCAGUUAUAAAUGAUUUAGUGACUGUUGCUUAGGAAGACAGCUUGUAGUGAAAUUAUGAUUAUGUGGUAAACAUUGACAAAAAUUUGUUAAUGAGUUGCUUAUUAUUUUCUUAUAAGCUUACUAUGAUCUGUAGGUGUGGUUGGCCGAAUAUUGUAAGGGGUUAAUACGUAGUUUGUAUUUGAAUAGUUAGAUUAACGUGUUAGUAAUCCAAUUGUAGGCGGUUCGUGUGUGGAUCUCGUCAGCAUAUCGUCGCAAACAGGUGUGUAACUAACACCCUCUUUCUUAGUCUGGAUCGGCAAAAGUCGAAAAGCCGAAAUGCUGAAAAUCGGUAUUUUGUAGAUUUGCGAUUGUGCGAAUGCUCGUGAGGUAAAUCGAUUAAUGUUUUUGGUAAGCUGCAAAAUUUGAACUGUAAAGUGCAUGAUUUCUGUGCCCUUGAUAUUUUUGGGCUUAAUGGGCCAAAAUUGGAAUGAUGGGCCAACGGGCCCAAUUCGGUAAGAACCCUCGGUACGUGAUUCUGUUAGUACGUGAAAAGUAGGAAUAUGCAUGAAAAACCCUAAAGUAGAUAAAUUACUGAAAUACCUUUAAAAGUGGAAAAUUUACAGUUUUACCCCUAGGAGAUAAAUUACCGAAAUACCCCUAAGGUUAAAUUGACCUAAAUGCAUGUUUGACUGUUGUUAUUUACUGCAUGCCAUGUUGUUAUUAUCUGAUGCAUGGGACUGGGAUAUUGACAGAGGAAGUACUAAAAGUGGCUUGUCCACGUACUGGAGGCUUUGCCUCAAUUUACUGUUAACUGAGCAGCAAGGCUGCAACUGUGGAGUGUUGGGCUGGGUGGGUUGAGCUACUCCCCACAUGGAGUGUAUGGCUGGUACGGGCGGAGUGUAGUGGUUGGUGGGUUGAGUAGUCUCCCCAAAUGGGCUUGCAUAUGUUUACUGAUGUUGCAUGUAUUUUGAAAUGGGCCUAUGGGCCAUACUGUUAUCUGAAUAAGGGGCUAAGGCCCAGUUUAUUGUAAUCUGAAAAGGGCUCUGGCCCAGUACCAUUGUUACCUGAAUGGGCUUAGGCCCAAUGGGCUUGAGCUGACUUGGGCUUUGAAUGGGCUUUCCUUACACACUGAGUUUCCCCAAACUCACCCUUUUUAUUUUCAUCCACGCAGGAAAUCCCCAACCAUAGUGGGCUUAGAGCUGUGAGGGAAUUUGGAGUGGCCACCCGUUCUGAAAGUUUGAUUUUCUUCUGGUGAACUGGACAUCUUUUUAUUUACGUUUGAAGUUUUGGGUUUUUAAAUGUAAUAAGGCCGCUUAAUUAUUUUUGAUGGUUUUAAUAUGUAUUACUAAGAUAGGUAAUCCUUAUUUUAACUGUUGAAAUUGGAUAGCUUUAGGGCGCGUUUUCAAAAACAACAGUUGAUUUCAAAAUAACACGACAACAAGUAAAGCUUCCGCAAUGAAAGUAUUUUCCAAAAUUAAUCACUUUUCCUAAAAAUGACUUAAUCAAAUCGGUUUCCUAGAAAUAUACAUGACGUUAAGGUAUGGAAAUGGCGGUUUGCAUGUCUAGGAUUGGAUCCGAAGGGAAUUUGGUACUUAAGCAGUCCGAUGGACUCACCUCCUCUUUCCCGGUUUCCUACUUGGUGCACAACUUCCAUUCACUUUAACCUAAAAUGAAAUCAUCUUUUAAAACACUCAGUAAGUUUUCUUUCUGGAUCGGAAAUGUUUUGAAUGCUUCGAUGUAGCAUGUCGGAUCCGGCCAUAACGUCUGGGCCGGGUUUGGGGUGCUACAUUUAGUGGUAUCAGAGCCUAGGUUGCAACAACUCGGCUGUGGAAUGGGUUUACAAAAGCAAAGAUUUUCGAAAGCGAAAAUUUUAUAAAGAAUGCGAAAAACUCGAUUUUCAAAAUUUAGAUCUUUAGAAGGUGGCAUUCCGAAUCUCCGGCCCAAGCCUGUAAGUAUUACUCUGAACUUUUCUGAAUAUUUUCCUGAAUUAUCUGUCUGUACUGAAACCCUAUUAGGAUACUCUAGAUAGGAUGAUACUGAAACCAUAGGAAAAUCUGAUAAGUGUCUGAAACUGUAGCUAGACUUCGAUUCUGCAAAAACAAACUCUGAACUACUGUCUGAUUCAUAAAACAUCUGUAAUAAACACUGAAAUAUUAAUUGAUGCAUAAAAAUUCGUAAUUAAGAUAAUACGAUAUGAGUACAAGAGGCCGUGGACGGAGCCGAGGAAGUGCUCGAGCGAGAUCUUCGUCUUCGAGACAUAUGCCGGUGGUGGAUGCACCGGUACCACCGGUAACAGAGGUAGAGUCUCAUGACCGCGGUGCCGAGGAUGAUGCCCUGUCACAGGCAAUGCUUCGUGUUCUGGAAAGGGUUGUCGGGGCAAGUACGGGCAAUGGAGUUCGGGGAUCUAUUUCUGAACGACUUCGGGCUAACGGAGCGGAGAUCUUUAGGGGCGUGUCUGGUAUAGCCCCGAAUGUGGCCGAGUAUUGGUUGGAGGCCACAGAACAGAUUUUGGACAACUUGGACUGCUCUGAGGAGAUUGUGAGUGGGGUAUCUGUACUAAGUCCUUUGGGUCACUCGGUUAGGGUAGACAAACUGUAUAGGGAUGUACCCUUUGAAACUCAAGGUAGGAUUUUCCCUGGAGAUCUGAUGGAGUUACCGUUCGGAGAGUUUAAUCUCAUUUUGGGAAUGGACUGGCUUGUUAAGCAUAAGGCGACCCUGGAUUGUGCUGCUAAACGAAUGGUGUUAAGGACCACAAAGUAUGAGGAGGUUAUGGUGAUAGGCGAGCGAAUGGAUUAUUUGUCCAAUGUGGUGUCGGCUUUAAGAUUCGAAAAGUGGAUUCGGAAAGGUUGUGAGGCCUAUUUGGCAUUUGUAAGUCAGUCAGAAGAGGAGGGAUUGUCAGUGGAUAAAGUUAGGACUGUAAAGGAGUUCCAAGAUGUUUUUCCAGAUGAGCUUUCAGGAUUGCCUCCGAACCGAGAAGUGGAGUUUAGAAUCGACUUAUUGCCUGGAACGGCACCAGUGUCUAUCGCACCGUAUAAAGUGGAACCGAAGGAGUUGGUGGAGCUAAAGGCACAAAUUCAAGAGUUGUUGGAUAGGGGCUUCAUUAGGCCAAGCGUGUCUCCAUGGGGAGCACCGGUGCUAUUCACAAAAAAGAAGGAUGGUACGAUGCGGAUGUGCAUUGAUUAUCGCCAGUUGAAUAAACUGACGAUUAAGAAUAAGUAUCCACUGCCAAGGAUUGACGAUCUGUUUGACCAACCUAGAGGAGCUUCUGUAUUUUUCAAGAUCGACCUUUGAUCUGGAUAUCAUCAGUUAAGGGUCAAGGAGGCAGAUAUCCAUAAGACAGCAUUCAGGACUCGGUAUGGUCAUUACGAGUUUCUGGUUAUGCCAUUUGGACUGAUGAACGCUCCUGCAGCAUUUAUGGAUCUGAUGAAUCGUGUGUUCCAACCAUUUUUUGAUCAGUUCAUAGUUGUCUUUAUUAACGAUAUCCUGGUAUAUUCUGAAACUGAAGCGAAACAUGAUGAGCAUCUCCGUAUAGUGCUGCAAGUGUUAAGGGAGAAGGAACUCUUUGUGAAGUUCAGCAAGUCUGAACUUUGGUUGAGGGGGGUAACCUUCUUAGGACAUUUGCUGAGGGGAUUAAGGUGGACCCUCGAAAAAUUGAAGCGAUUUUGGAAUGGAAGCUACCUAGGUCAGUUUUGGAAAUAUGGAGUUUCCUAGGACUGGCAGGAUACUACAGAAGGUUUGUGGAAGGUUUUUCUGUGAUGGCAGCACCUUUGACAAAACUCAUAAGGAAAGGAGUACAGUUUGUAUGGACUAAGAAGUAGCAGGAAGCUUUUAAAAAUUUAAAGAAAGUUCUGAUUGAAGCACCUGAGUUAAUUCAGCCGGAAUCUGGGAAGGAUUUUACUGUGUACAGUGACGCAUCACACGUGGGUUUGGGCUGCGUGUUAAUGCAAGAGGGUAAGGUGGUUGGAUAUGCAUCACGAUAGCUUAAACCUCAUGAGGGGAACUAUCCGACUCAUGAUUUGGAGUUGGCAGCAGUGAUAUUCGCACUUAAGAUUUGGAGACAUUACUUGUACGGAGAAAGGUGUAUUAUAUACACUGACCAUAAGAGUCUUAAGUAUUUGUUGACUCAGAAGGAGCUGAACCUUAGGCAAAAGAGAUGGAUUGAGUUGCUUAAGGAUUAUGACUGUUCGAUCGAGUAUCACCCAAGCAAGGCUAAUGUGGUAGCCGAUGCUCUAAGUCGUAGAGUUGUAUCUGAUCUGAGAGCAAUGUUUGCUCGUCUGAGUCUGUAUGAUGAUGGAAGUCUGUUGGCUGAGUUGCAAGUGAGGCCAACCUAGGUGGAUCAAAUUAAGGAAAAACAGUUGAACGAUGAGUCUUUGGUCGCUCGUUUUCAACAAAUUAAGGAAGGGGAAACUUUUGAGUUUGGGAGCCAGAAGAGACGAUGCAACAGUAAUACCCUCAUCUGUUUGGAUUAGGUAAAUUUCGAGGACAAAAUUUCUUUAAGGAGGGUAGAGUUGUAACGCCCCAAUUUUCGGGAAUCCGGUGAAUGUUGGCAUAGGUUUAAUUAUGUUAGUGGGCCUCUAGAAGGCCCAAGCUUAAGAUAGAACCCAGCAAUUUUAGUUAAUUUUUGUACCAUAAGAAAAAGGGGGUGAAAUUAUGAAAUAAAACCUAUUUGAAAAUGUUUGAAAAUGCUAUAGGCUAAAUUGAAGUGGCCAAAUAAAUAGGAGUGCAAAAUAGGAGGAUUUGCAUAAAAAACCUCCCAUUUUACAUGAAGUGGCCAGCCAUCAUGUUGUUGUAGACAAAAUGUGCACUUGAUAUCCAUAAUUUAUGGUACAAAUUGAUACAAAUUGAUAAUAGGUUAGGUAAAUGUUUCAUGAUAAUGGGUUAGGUAAAUGUUUCAUGAUAAGAAUUUCAUGUCUUUUGUAUUAAAGAAUUAAAUGGAUGAAAUAUAAAGUUUUAUUAAAAGAAAAAGGGUGAAAAGAACAAAGUUUUGUCCAUCUUUGUUCAUCAUAGAUGAAAGUUAGAGAAGAGAAAGGAGAGGAGAAAGCUCUUGAGUAUUCGGUCAUUAGGAGGAGGAAAAUUGAAGGUAAGUUCUUGGUACCUUGCUUCUAUAUUUGAGGUUCAUGAGUUCUUCUUGAUUCUACCUUAACUCUUGAAGUAUAUUUUGAUUUUUGGUUGUGUUGUGAGCAUUUGGUCAUGAAUUAAAAUGAAGGAAAUGGUUGUUGUUUCAUGUUCUUUUGAUGAAAAAUGGAAGAUAUGUGAAGUUGAGCCAAACAAAUGAGCAUGCAUGUGCCUUAGAUGCUAAAGGGAAAAAUCAGCUAACAUGUUGUGCUUUAAAAUGAUGAAAUGGAGAUUAUGCUUAAGUAAAAAUCAUAGAUAUGUGAUGAUUGAUUGGUGAUAUACAUGUUUAAAUAACAUGCAUGCAAGAUAGGUGUAUGAAAGAGUGAUUUGGUAAUAAAUCUGCUUGGGACAGCAGCAGUAACGUGACUUUGGAAAAUCACCAUAAAUUGUGGGAGAUGAAUUAGAAGCUGAAUAAAUUAUUUAAUUAAAGCUUAUUGAGUCUAGUUUCUAAUGAAAUAAACAAGAACAUAUUUUGAAUUCUGUACAAUGAGAAAUUUGAUUCGUAAUGAAGAGUGGUCAGAUUAGUCAAACAGUGAAACAUGGGAAACUUUGAGAAAAAUCUGGUAUUGAUUGGCUAAACCAAAAAUUCUGAAAAUUUUAUGGAUAGAAGAUAUAUGAGUAUAUUUUCAAGGAAAAUUAACGGAACUUGAUUUGGAGUUUCGUAGCUCCAGUUAUAAAUGAUUUAGUGACUAUUGCUCAGGAAGACAGCUUGCAGUGAAAUUAUGAUUAUGUGGUAAACAUUGACAAAAAUUUGUUAAUGAGUUGCUUAUUGUUUUCUUAUGAGCUUACUAUGAUCUGUAGGUGUGGUUGGCUGAAUAUUGUAAGGGGUUAAUACGUAGUUUGUAUUUGAAUAGUUAGAUUAACGUGUUAGUAAUCCAAUUGUAGGCGGUUCGUGUGUGGAUCUCGUCAGCAUAUCGUCGCAAACAGGUGUGUAACUAACACCCUUUUUCUUAGUCUGGAUCGGAAAAAGUCGAAAACCCGAAAUGCCGAAAAUCGGUAUUUUGUAGAUUUGCGAGUGUGCGAAUGCUCGUGAGGUAAAUCGAUUAAUGUUUUUGGUAAGCUGUAAAAUUUGGACUGUAAAGUGCAUGAUUUCUGUGCCCUCGAUAUUUUUGGGCUUAAUGGGCCAAAAUUGGAAUGAUGGGCCAACGGGCCCAAUUCGAUAAGAACCCUCGGUACGUGAUUCUGUUAGUACGUGAAAAGUAGGAAUAUGCAUGAAAAACCCUAAAAUAGAUAAAUUACUGAAAUACCUUUAAAAGUGAAAAAUUUACAGUUUUACCCCUAGGAGAUAAAUUACCGAAAUACCCCUAGGGUUAAAUUGACCUAAAUGCAUGUUUGACUGUUGUUAUUUACUGCAUGCCAUGUUGUUAUUAUCUGAUACAUGGGACUGGGAUAUUGACGGAGGAAGUACUAAAAGUGGCUUGUCUAUGUACUGGAGGCUUUGCCUCAAUUUACUGUUAACUGAGCAGCAAGGCUGCAACUGUGGAGUGUUGGGCUGGGUGGGUUGAGCUAUUCCCCACAUGGAGUGUAUGGCUGGUACGGGUGGAGUGUAGUGGUUGGUGGGUUGAGUAGUCUCCCCAAAUGGGUUUGCAUAUGUUUACUGAUGUUACAUGUAUUUUGAAAUGGGCCUAUGGGCCAUACUGUUAUCUGAAUAAGGGGCUAAGGCCAUUUUAUUGUAAUCUGAAAAGGGCUCUGGCCCAGUACCAUUGUUACCUGAAUGGGCUUAGGCCCAAUGGGCUUGAGCUGACUUGGGCUUUGAAUGGGUUUUCCUUACACACUGAGUUUCCCCAAACUCACCCCUUUUAUUUUCAUCCACGCAGGAAAUCCCCAACCAUAGUGGGCUUGGAGUUGUGAGGGAAUUCGGAGUGGCCACCCGUUCUGAAAGUUUGAUUUUCUUCUGGUGAACUGGACAUCCUUUUAUUUACGUUUGAAGUUUUGGGUUUUUAAAUGUAAUAAGGCCGGUUAAUUAUUUUUGAUGGUUUUAAUAUAUAUUACUAAGAUAGGUAAUCCUUAUUUUAACUGUUGAAAUUGGAUAGCUUUAGGGCGCGUUUUCAAAAACAACAGUUGAUUUCAAAAUAACACGACAACAAGCAAAGCUUCAACAAUGAAAGUAUUUUCCAAAAUUAAUCACUUUUCCUAAAAAUGACUUAAUCAAAUCGGUUUCCUAGAAAUAUACAUGACGUUAAGGUAUGGCAAUGGCGGUUUGCAUGUCUAGGAUUGGAUCCGAAGGGAGUUUGGUACUUAAGCAGUCCGAUGGACUCACCUCCUCUUUCCCGGUUUCCUACCUGGUGCACAGCUUCCAUUCACUUUAACCUAUAAUGAAAUCAUCUUUUAAAACACUCAGUAAGUUUUCUUUCUGGAUCGGAAAUGUUUUGAAUGCUUCGAUGUAGCAUGUCAGAUCCGGCCAUAACGUCUGGGCCGGGUUUGGGGUGCUACAUUUUAUUCCUAUGAACUUACUAAGCUUUUAUAAGCUUACUUGAAUGUAUUCAAUGUCUCUUGUAAAUUGACGUGGAAAAAUACGGAGGAUCGGAUCAACACAGAGGAUCACACUAUCCAGAUUAUCUCCGGUAGCUUUUGUAAAUUUCCUUUUUGAUUUAUAUGGCAUGUAUAAGGUUUGAUGAUUAUAUAAAUACUAAGACUUGUUUAAUGAAUAUACAUUAAAGUAAAGAAUGAUGAAUAUGUUUAAUAGUAUAAUUAUAAUAGUAAUAUAAUUUGGUAUCAAAUUGUUUGAAAUGAAUUGGUUGGUUGGAUUGGUCUCAGUUUUAAAAUUUGCAGGGAAGGUUAGAUAUUUAUAAAGGGGUUAUAUUGAGCAAAAAAAAAAACUUUGGGAUUUUGGGAAAAAUUCCCUAUGGUUCGAUUUAAUUCUGGUUUGGUCUCGAAGUAUGUUUUGGGCUUUGGAGGCCAUCUAAAGGACGCCAUGACAUGUUUUAGUAAAUGAAUAGUAUUUAACUCGUAUUAAUGGAAAAUUAAUUUGAUAAACUCCGGUAAUGCCUCCUACCCUAUUCCGGAGACGAAUACGGGUAAGGGGUGUUACAUUUAGUGGUAUCAGAGCCCAGUUUAGCCGGUUCUCGGAACAUGGGUUAUGUGUAAAGUGUUUAGAAAUACAUGCCAUAUAAAUCUAUGAUAGUGUGAUGUGUAUGAUCCGAUCUAAUCUUUGUCAUUUUUAUAGAUACUCUCUGAUUAUAAAGAUGUCAGAUAGACCUGAACGCACUGAACAGGAGGAAGCUAAUAGUAAAGUGCAGACUUCUAAACAAGUAACAAGUAGUGAUACUCCAAUUUCUAUGAUGUGAGAGCGAGAACUUAAAAAUAUGAUUUAUGGAGUUAUGAAUCAGUGGUAUAAGGAGAUGGUACAAGAAAGAAGUCAGGCUCAACCACCUCCUCCCCCUACUGCACCACCUGUGGUACCUCCGGUUGCUCUUCCACCUCUUUCAAUAAUUGAAACUAGUAAACGUUCUCUGAUAGAAAAGCUUAGGAAGUUUGGAGCUGAGGAAUUUUGAGGGAGAUCAAAUGAUGACCCUGUAAAAGCUGAGUAUUGGCUACAGAGUUUGGUAAGAAUUUUUAAAUAGAUGGCUUGUUCUCCGGAGGAUUAUCUACGAUGUGCUGUCUCAUUGUUAAAAGAAGAAGCAUAUAACUGGUGGGAAACUGUGGAAGCUGUAGUACCUGCAGAGAAGCUUACUUGGGAAUUUUUCCAGAACAAGUUUAAAAAAGAAAUAUGUGGGGAAAAGAUAUCUAGACAAGAAAAAGAGAGAAUUUCUUGAUCUACGGCAGGGAAAUAAGUCAGUGGCUGAAUACGAAAGAGAAUUUGUCUACCUUAGCAAAUAUGCUCAAGACAUUGUACCUACUGAAGAAGAAAUGUGUAUCAGAUUUGAAGAAGGGUUAAAUGAUAAGAUUAGAAUGAUGAUUGGGGCUAGUGAAAUACGAGAGUUCGUUGUUCUGUCAGACCAUGCUCAAAAGCUCGAAGAAGUAUAUAACAGAAAAAUACAGCGAGAUCGGAAAAAUAAAGAGUCAUUUAAAAGAGGUGCUUCUGAGUCAUUUUCAGAUUUGCCGGUGAAAAAAUCUAGAGAAGAAAUUAGUCGAACUACAUCCGUGCCGGGAAGAUUGGGUAGAGGUAAAUCAAGACAAUCUGAUUUCAGGGUAUUUGAUAGACCUGCAGCAAGUGUGAGCAGUGUUCAGAAUACUCCCCGGCCUAAGUGUCAAUAUUGUGGAAGACAUCAUUUCGAUGAAUGCAGGACUAAGAUGGGGGCUUGUUAUAAAUGUGGGGCUACUGAUCAUCUUAUUCGAGAUUGUCCCAGGUGUAAAAAGAUGAAGUGGAUCAGAAAGAGAUACAGAGAACCACUCCCCAAAGAAGUAGACGUUCGGGCCAGAGCAGUGCUACAGGGGCUACCCGUUUGGGUAUGAGAGAACCAGUUAGUCAAUCAGAGAAUAGAGCACCAGCACGUACCUAUGCCAUUCGAGCAAGGGAAGAGGCUACGGCUCCUGAUGUAAUUGCUAGUAUUUUCUAUCUUUAUGAUGUUACUGUUUAUGCAUUAAUAGACCCUGGGUCUACUCAUUCAUAUAUUUGCACUAUGCUAGCAUCUGAAAAGAAAUUAUCUGUUGAGUCCACUAAUUAUGAUAUACAAGUCACUAAUCCAUUAGGUCAAAGUGUGAUGGUUAAUUUAAUAUGUCGAAAUUGUCCACUGAAAGUGAAAGGCUGUGAAUUCCCAGCUGAUUUGAUGUUGUUACCCUUUCAGGAAUUUGAUAUUAUUCUGGGGAUGGAUUGGUUAACAAAACAUGACGCUGUAGUGAACUAUCGGGAGAAACGAAUUGAUUUGGAAAAUCAGACAGGAGAAAUGAUUUCGGCUGAGUUUGGAAAUAUGAAAGAUAAUGUCCAAAUUAUUUCAGCCUUUUCAGCUUAAAAGCUAAUACAAAAGGGUAAUGAAGCAUAUUUAGCUUAUAUUCUUGAUACUCGGGAUUCUGAAUCAAAGUUGAAACAGUUGCCAGUUGUUAAUGAAUUUGAUGAUGUGUUUCCUGAGGAAUUGCCGAGUUUACCGCCAGAUCGUGAAGUUGAGUUUGUGAUUGAUGUGAUCCCGAGAACAGGUCCAAUAUCCAUAACACCAUACAGAAUGGCACCGGCGGAAUUAAAAGAGUUGAAGACUCAAUUGCAAGAAUUGUUAGAUAAAGGGUUUAUUAGACCGAGUACAUCUCCUUGGGGUGCACCUGUUUUGUUUGUGAAAAAGAAAGAUGGUUCGUUGAGAUUGUAUAUAGAUUACAGACAGUUAAAUAGAUUACAGACCGAGAUUGUAUAAAGAUGAUUUAUUCGAUCAAUUGAAAGGUGCUGCUGUGUUUUCAAAAAUAGAUCUUCGAUCUGGGUAUUAUCAGCUAAAAGUUAAAGAAUGUGACAUGCCAAAAACUGCCUUUAGAACUCGGUAUGGUCAUUAUGAGUUUCUGGUAAUGCCAUUUGGUUUAACUAAUGCUCCUGCUGCAUUUAUGAACUUGAUGAAUUGGAUUUUUCAACCUUAUUUGGAUAGAUUCGUGGUUGUAUUUAUUGAUGAUAUACUGAUCUAUUCGAAGACCGAGCCUGAUCAUGCACAACACUUGAGAAGUGUGUUACAGACUUUGAGAGAGAAGCAGUUGUAUGCAAAGUUCAGCAAGUGUGAAUUUUGGCUACAUAAGGUUGGAUUUCUGGGUCAUAUUAUUUCAGCUGAAGGAAUUCAAGUAGAUCCAAGUAAAGUGUCAGCAGUGGUGAAUUGGAAAACUCCAAAGAACGUAACAGAAGUGCGGAGUUUCCUGGGAUUAGCGGGAUACUACCGCCAAUUUGUUAAAAAUUUUUCAAUGAUUGCCUUGCCGAUGACUCGACUACUUCAGAAGAAUGUUGAAUUUGUAUGGUCUGAAGAGUGCCAACAAAGUUUUGACCAGUUGAAGAAGAUGUUGACAGAAGCUCCAGUGUUAACUCAGCCAGAAUCAAGUAUACCAUAUGUUGUGUAUAGUGAUGCAUCUUUAAAUGGUUUGGGUUGUGUUUUAAUGCAGUCAGGGAAAGUAGUGGCAUAUGCUUCUCGGCAAUUAAAACCACAUGAAAAAAAUUACCCUACCCAUGAUUUAGAGUUGGCCGCGAUUGUGUUUGCUUUAAAAAUCUGGAGACAUUAUUUAUAUGGGGAAAAAUGUUAUGUGUAUACCGAUCACAAAAGUCUGAAAUAUUUGAUGACACAGAAAGAGCUGAACUUGAGACAGAGACGAUGGCUCGAACUAUUGAAAGAUUAUGAUCUUGUUAUUGAUUAUCACCCGGGGAAAGCUAAUGUGGUCGCUAAUGCACUUAGCCGAAAACCAUCAUUGUUUGCACUUCGAGCAAUGAAUGUUCAUUUCUCUGUUAAUGAAGAUGGUUCAGUAUUAGCAGAAUUGAAAGCAAAAUCUACAUUCCUUCAACGGAUCCGUGAAUUACAGAGUGAUGAUCCUAAACUAGUACUGAAAUGACAAACGGUUCAGGAUAAUUUGAGUUCAGAAUAUAGCGUUGAUGAUGGUGGUAUGUUGCGUUAUCGUAAUAGAAUUUGUGUUCUGAAUAAUUCAGAAUUGAAAAAUGAUAUUCUUGCUGAAGCUCAUAAUAGUAAGUAUUCUAUUCAUCCGGGUAGUACAAAAAUGUAUUGCGAUUUAAAAAGAAUGUAUUGGUGGCCUGGUAUGAAAUGAGAGAUUUAUGAAUUUGUUGCAAAAUGUCUAAUCUGUCAGCAAGUGAAAGCAGAGCAUCAAGUACCAACGGGUUUAUUACAACCUAUUAUGAUUCCUGAAUGGAAGUGGGAACACAUUACGAUGGAUUUUGUAUCAGGAUUGCUUGUGACUCCGAAAAAGAAAGAUUCAAUCUGGGUUAUCGUUGAUAGAUUGACAAAGUCGGCACAUUUUAUUCCAGUCAGAUCAAAUUUUUCAUUGGAGAAGUUAGCAGAAUUGUAUAUUUCUGAGAUUGUGAGAUUACAUGGAGUUCCAGUAUCUAUUAUUUCGGAUCGGGAUCCGAGAUUUACUUCGAGAUUUUAGAGUAAAUUACAGGAGGCUUUGGGCACUAAAUUAAAUUUCAGCACAGCUUUUCAUCCUCAGACAGACGGGCAGUUAGAGCGAGUGAUUCAGAUUUUAGAAGAUAUGUUAAGGUGUUGUGUACUUUAGUUUGGCGGCAGCUAGGAAAGGUAUUUACCUUUAGUCGAAUUUGCUUAUAAUAAUAGUUAUCAAACUAGUAUUAAAAUGGCACCAUUUGAAGCUCUGUAUGGAAGAAAGUGUAGAACUCCAUUAUAUUGGUCUGAAUUAAGUGAACAGAAACUAAUGGGAGUGGACUUGAUUCGGGAAACCGAAGAAAUAGUUCGUAUUAUUCGAGAUUGUUUAAAAGCUGCUUCCGAUCGGCAAAAAUCAUAUGCAGAUUUAAAGAGAAGAGAUAUAGAGUUUAAUGUGGGUGAUCGUGUAUUCUUGAAAGUGUCACCGUGGAAGAAAGUUUUGCGGUUCGGUAGAAAAGGAAAACUCAGCCCACGAUUUAUCGGGCCGUAUGAAAUCAUUGAAAGAAUCGGUCCGGUAGCUUAUAGAUUGGCUUUGCCCCCGGAGCUUGAAAAGAUUCAUAAUGUGUUUCAUGUGUCUAUGUUGAGACGGUACAGAUCAAAUCCAUCACAUGUAAUUCCUCAUACAGAAAUAGAGCUCCAACCCGACAUGACUUAUUCAGAAAAACCGGUGAAAAUUCUAGCUUGGGAAAUUAAAGAGUUAAGGAACAAACGGGUACCGUUAGUAAAAGUGUUGUGGCAUCGACAUGGUGUGGAGGAGGCAACCUGGAAAACAGAGGAAUCAAUGAAAUCACAAUAUCCGAACCUAUUUUCAGGUAACAAAUUUCGAGGACGAAAUUUUUUAAGAGGGGGAGAAUUGUAAUAGCCUAAAUUUUCAGUGGUGUCGGAACAGUGAUUCGAGAUCACUAAAUCCAAAAAAUGAGUAGAAAAUAUUAAUAAUUUAGUGAAUAGAAAAUAUUAAUAAUUUAGUGAAUAUAAGUUAAACGUGAAGUUAGGAAAAUUUUUGAAAUAGCGAAUAGUGUACUAGAAAUAAAAAUUAAAUUAGAAUCGGAAACGAGAUAUCGAGAGUUUGAAAAUUUUUAAAACGAGCCAUAAAUAUUUUUAUAAAUAUUUAUGGAGUGUUAAUAAGUUAGUAUUAAAGUUUCGUCAAGAAAUUUUAAAUUUUCGAUAGUUAAUUGAAUAAAAAGGAUUAAAUUGUAACAAAUGUAAAAUUAUGGGAAAUGAUUAAAUAGCUUAAUUGAUAAAAGAAAGAGGGUUUAAAAGGAAAAUAGACCCAAGGUCUAUUUGGGCUGAACGGCAAGGUGCAUGAAAUCAGCAGGAAAAUUGAUGAAUUAAGGGCAAAAUUGGAAUAUUGCAAAAUUUACUUAAUAAACUAAGACUAAAGUGGAAUUAUCUAGAAUUCUCAUUAUUUUUCUGCAUUCUCAUCAGCAAAAACACCAUAGAAGGGUUUUAUUAAGCUGGUUUUGCAUAUUUUUACUGCAACUAAGUUCAAUUCUUGAUUAUUUCUUGAAAUUUUUGUGUUUUUAUGACUUUUACAACUAGGGCCACUUGUUGAAUUCAUUAGUUUUUGAUUCUAUGAAAGAAAUUGGAAGUUUUUAUGAAUAUGAGUUGGAAGUAUAUGAUGAUUUAGCAUGGAAUUAGAGUUUUAAAUUGUUUAUAUGCUGAUUUUAUUGAAAGAAUUGAAUAGAAAGUGAAUGUUUGGGACCUAAUGGUGAAAGAGUUUGAAGUUAGGGUUUUAUGUGGAAAUUAUGAAUUUAAAUAAUUGUGAAAUAACUUAUAAUGUCUAGGUAAAGCAUUAAUUGGGAAAAAUUAGCUUCAUUGAGGGAUUAAUUGAGCAAGGACUGAUUGUAUGAACUGUGAAAUUUGGGGCAAAAACUGAAAUUAACAUUUGCACUAAAACAGUUUUGGACAGCAACAGUAGUCUAACUUUUAAAAAUCACCAUAAAUUGUAUAAAUCCAAUUAAAAGAUGAAAAAAAUAUGAAAUUAAAGCUUAUUGAGUCUAGUUUCUCAUAGAAGAAACAGUGUAAGCAACGGAAUUGUAGAUCAUGAGAUAUAAUAGAUUUUGUGAGACACUAUCAGGAUGAUUUCGGGUUCCCCUGUUCUGACUUUGGAAAAUCAUCAAACAUUGGAGAAAAAUAAUUAGGGGCUUAAAUUUAUAUUUUUAAAAUCCUUAAUGAGUCUAUUUUCAAUAGAAACAAACAUGGACAUCAUCCAAAUUUUGUACGAAGAGAUAAUUAAUUUUUAGUGAAGAAGUGUUGGAAUUGUUAGACAGCAGAACAUGGGUGACUUUAAAGAAUAAACUGUACUUAUUGGCUAAACCAAAAAUUCUAAAAAUUUUAUGAUAAGAAUAUAUAUGAGUCUAGUUUCAAGGAAAUUAGCAAAUCCUAAUUUGGAGUUCUGUAGCUAAAGAUAAAUAUAAUUUAGUGACUAUGGCACCGAUGGACAGCAUUGGAAUAUACAUAAGUAAACAAUUAAAUUAUAGAUAAUAUUACUUAUAAGCGGGUUGAAGAUGAAGUCAAUACUGAUAAGUGAAUGAUUUUACAAUGAUAUAUCGAGAACCCGAAGCAAGUCGAGGAAAAGAAAAAGUAGCUGAUUAGUCCCUGAACUUUCAUAAAUUUUACAAAUCAACCCAGGUAAGUUCAUAUGGUUGAAGUUUAAUGAUUAUAUGUAAAUUUUAUGAAUUAUAUAAUGUAUGAUGAAAUAUAUUUAUUGAUGAAUAGAGAAUAAAAUAACAACUCGAAAAUCAAAUAAAUGAUCAAAUUGAGCGGAACGUCGGAUUUGAGUACUUCUGAUCAGUGACAAGUGAUAAGUGGUAGCCUCAGCUACACUUAUCUGAUCAGUGAUAAGUGACAAUUAGUGAUAAGUGGUAGCUUUAGCUACACUUAUCUGAUCAGUGACAAGUGAUAAAUGUGAUCAGUGUAAGACUGUGGCAGGACUAUGACUUCAAAAAGUUAUAAGUGAUCAUACGCAAGACUAUAGUUAUGCUAUGGCAAAGUGAAAGUGAAGUACUCAAUUUUCCGUAACCGUUCCCUAAUUUGGUUGAAGAAUGAUAUGUGACAAACGGGCCCAAAAGAAUUAAAGGAAAUGGAUGAGUGGUAGUAAGUUUAUACAAAGGGAACUCACCAAUGACUGUGGUUGACAAGUGAACUUAAUCGUUGUGUAUAUUGUAUAAGUGUAUAAAUAUUUGGUAAGAUUUAUGUUUUAUGCCUAUGAACUUACUAAGCUUCUAUAAGCUUACUAGAAUGUAUUCAAUGUCUCUUGUAGAUUGACGUGGAAAAAUACGGAGGAUCGGAUCAACACAGAGGAUCACACUAUCCAGAUUAUCUCCGUUAGCUUUUGUAAAUUUCCUUUUUGAUUUAUAUGGCAUGUAUAAGGUUUGAUGAUUAUAUAAAUACUAAGACUUGUUUAAUGAAUAUACAUUAAAGUAAAGAAUGAUGAAUAUGUUAAAUAGUAUAAUUAUAAUAGUAAUAUAAUUUGGUAUCAAAUUGUUUGAAAUGAAUUGGUUGGUUGGAUUGGUCUUGGUUUAAAAUUUGCAGGGAAGGUUAGAUAUUUAUAAAGGGGUUAUAUUGAGCAAAAAAAAAACUUUGGGAUUUUGCGAAAAAUUCCCUAUGGUUCGAUUUAAUUCUGGUUUGGUCUCGAAGUAUGUUUUGGGCUUUGGACCAUCUAAAGGACGCCAUGACAUGUUUUAGUAAAUGAAUAGUAUUUAACUCGUAUUAAUGAAAAAUUAAUUCGAUAAACUCCGGUAAUGCCUCCUACCCUAUUCCGGCGAUGAAUACGGGUAAGGGAUGUUACAUGAUCCACCUCUCUUUCCUGGGAAUUGAACUUAGUGUGAUUUUUCAGUACAAUAAUUUUACUCUUUUACACGCUUCCAUGCAAUAAUUGGUAUCAAAGCUAGAUUCGUACUUUGGGAAUACGACAGUUUACGAUACUAUUUAUGUAUACGGCACUGUUCACGUAUAUAGUAGUUGGGAUUGAGGAGAAAAAUGGCAGAGGCAUCGUGAUCAGCAAGGACUACUAUGACCAAUGCAAAAUUUGAAGUAGAGAAAUUUGACGGUACCAAUAAUUUUGGUAUAUGGCAAUGUGAGAUCCUGGAUGUCUUAUGUCAGCAAGAGCUAGAUAUAGCCAUUGAAGAAAAACCUGACAAGAUGGAUGACAAGGAGUGGGCCAAGAUCAAUAGACAGGCGUGUGGUACAAUCCGCCUAUGUUUGGCCAAAGAGUAGAAGUAUUCUGUCAUGAGGGAGACAUCAGCGAAGAAGUUAUGGGAUACACUGGAAGAAAAGUUUUUAACGAAAAGUCUUGAAAAUAGGCUUUAUAUGAAAAAGAAACAUUUUCGAUUCACGUAUGCUCUCGGUAUGUCGAUGAAUGACCGUGUGAACUCAUUCAAUAAAAUUUUAGCAGACUUGCUAAAUUUGGAUGAAAAUUUUGAAGAUGAAGAUAAGGCAUUAUUGUUGUUGAAUUCCCUUCCUGAUGAAUAUGAUUAUGUUACCACCACAUUACUUCAUGGGAAGGACACGAUCACAUUUGAUGCAGUCUGUAGUGCGUUGUAUUGAUCUGAGACUCGAAAAAAAGAUAAAAGAGAUCACAGAGAUACAAAUGCAGAAGUCUUAACAGUAAGAGGUCAUUCACACAGCAGCAAAUCUGUUAGAAGGGGAAAGUCCAAAGGGAGAACCACCAAAGAUGAAUGUGCCUUUUGUCGUGAGAAAGGGCAUUGGAAAAAGAAUUGUCCUAAGCUACAAAAGGGCAAUGCUAUUUCUAAUGCAUGUGUAGCGGAGCAUGAUGAGGAGUCAGACUUUAGCUUUGUUGGCAUGGCAAUGGUAUGUCAUACGGAUGGGUGGAUUUUGGAUUCAGGAUGUACUUACCAUAUGUGUCCUAAUAAGGACUGGUUUUCUAGUCUUAAAAAGCUAGAAUGUGGAGUUGUUCUUAUAGGCAAUGAUAGUGCUUAUAAGACAAUGGGAGUGGGUACAAUCCAAUUGAAGAAUCACGACGGCUCAAUCCAAGUCUUGACAGAUGUUCGCUACGUACCUAGCUUGAAGAAAAAUCUCAUAUCAUUAGGGGCCCUAGAAUCUAAAGGGCUCAUAAUCAUUUUGAGAGAUGGAUUACUAAAGGUAGUAACCGAGAAAUUGACAGUAAUGAAUGGCACAAGAAGAAAGAACUUGUAAUUUUUAAAUGGAAGUACAGUUAUUGGAUUAACAUCAAUAGUUUCUACGAAAGAUGCAGAUUCAGAGGUUACCAGAUUAUGGCAUAUGCGAUUGGGACAUUCUAGUGAAAAAGCUUUGCAGACUUUAGCGAAGCAAGGCUUGUUGAAAGGUGCAAAUUCUUGCAAAUUGGAAUUUUGUGAACAUUGUGUUCUGGGAAAGCAGAUGAGGGUAAAAUUUGGUUCAGCAAUUCACAAUACGAAAGGAAUUUUAGACUACGUUCACAGUGAUGUGCGGGGACCUACCAAAGUGGCUUCUUUGGGAGGUAUGCACUAUUUUGUUACUUUUGUUAAUGAUUAUUCAAGAAAAGUAUGAGUGUAUCUAAUGAAAAGAAAAAGUGAAGUUUUGGAUGCAUUUCUGAAAUGGAAAAAGAUGGUGGAGACUCAGACUAGUCGAAAGGUCAAAUGACUUCGAUUAGAUAAUGGUACUGAGUACAAAAAUGAUCCAUUUCUACAAGUAUGUCAAGAUGAGGGCAUUGUGCGACAUUCACUGUUCGGGAUACACCACAGCAGAAUGAGGUGGCAGAACGCAUGAAUCGGACUAUACUAGAGAAAGUUCGAUGUAUGUUGUCCAAUGCUGGAUUGGGUAAGGAAUUUUGGGCUAAAGUAGUUACAUAUGCGUCCAUCAGCUGCAAUAAAUGGAAAAACUCCUAUGGAGUUGUGGACUGGUAAAUUUGCUACUGAUUAUGAUUCUUUACAUAUAUUUGGUUCCACUGCAUAUUAUCAUGUAAAAGAAUCUAAGUUAGACUCAAGAGCAAAGAAAUCAUUAUUCUUGGGUAUAACUGAUGGAGUAAAAGGAUACCGUCUCUGGUGUCCUGAUACAAGGAAGAUUGUUUUCAGUAGAGAUGUGACUUUUGAUGAAUCAACCAUAUUAAAGUACAAGGAUUCAUAAAAGGAUGACAAAACCAGUAGUACUUUGCAGCAGGUGGAGCUUGAAAAGGUUAACGAUGAUCCAUCUAAUAUUGGAGGGACAAAUGAUGAAGAAGUUUCAUCCCAAGAACCUCUACAGCAACAAGAUUCAAUUGCAUAUAGGAGGCCAAGAAGAGAGAUUUGUAAGCCUGCUCGUUUUGAUGAUAUAGUGGCCUAUGCACUUCUAAUUGCAGAUAAUGACGUUCCGUCUACUUACACAGAAGCAAUAAGUAACUCUGAUGGUGUAAAGUGGAAGCAAGCCAUGAAUGAAGAAAUACAGUUUCUUUAUAAAAAUAGGACUUGGGAGUUGGUGACACUGCCCAAGGGAAAGAAGGCAAUUAGAUGCAAAUAGGUAUAUGCAAAGAAGGAAUGAUUUCCUGGUAAAAAUGAAAUUCGAUACAAGGCUAGAUUGGUAGCAAAAGGUUACGCUUAGAAAGAAGGAAUAGACUACAAUGAAGUGUUUUCUUCAGUUGUGAAGCAUUCAUCCAUUCGGAUUUUGCUAACCUUGGUUGCUCAAUAUGAUCUUGAACUAGUUCAGCUUGAUGUAAAGAUCGCGUUUUACAUGGUGAUUUGGAAGAGGAAAUCUAUAUGACUCAGCCAGAUGGAUUCAAGUUGCUGGAAAAGAAAAUUGGGUUUGCAAACUGACAAAAUCGCUUUAUGGAUUGAAGCAAUCUCCGAGGCAGUGGUACAAGCGAUUUGAUCAGUUCACGAAGGGGCAAAGGUACACAAGAAGUAAAUUUGAUCAUUGCAUGUAUUUUCAGAAGCUACAAGAAGGAACUUUCAUUUACUUGCUCUUAUAUGUUAAUGAUAUGCUAAUAGCAUCUAAGAACAAAGUUGAGAUUGAAAGAUUGAAGACUCAACUCAAUCUCGAGUUUGAGAUGAAAGAUCUAGGUGAAGCUAAGAAGAUUCUCGGCAUGGAAAUAUGGAGGGAUAGAGCUCAUGAUAGAGUUAGCUUGUCUCAGAAGCAGUUUUUGAAGACGGUACUACAUUAUUUGGCAUAGAUGAGCAUACAAAACCUGUAAGUACCCCAUUGGCUUCUCAUUUCAAGCUUUCUGCACAAUUAUCUCCUUCGACGAAUGCAGAACGAGAAUACAUGUUGUAAGUUCCGUAUUCUAAUACAGUGGGUAACUUGAUGUAUGCAAUGGUGUGUACAAGACCUAACAUUUCACAGGCAGUUAGUAUAGUGAGCAGGUAUAUGCAUAAUCCUAGAAAAGAACAUUGGCAAGCUGUGAAAUGGAUUCUACAGUAUAUUCAGAAGACCGUGGAUGUUGGAUUACUGUUCAAGCAGGAUAAUACACUUAGUAAAGGUGUUAUUGGGUACGUUGAUUUUGACUAUGCUAGUGAUUUGGACAAACGAAGAUCAACCACCGGUUAUGUGUUUACACUUGCUGGAGGACCAAUAAGUUGGAAGUCUACACUACAGUUUACAGUUGCAUUGUCAACCACAGAAGCCGAAUACAUGGCUAUAACAGAGGCUGUAAAGGAAGCUAUUUGGUUACAAGGUAUGGUUAAAACCUUGGGAUUGGUUCAGGAGCAUAUUAACGUGUAUUGUGAUAGUCAAAGUGCUAUUCAUUUAGCAAAGAAUCAAGUCUAUCAUGCACGUACAAAGCAUAUUGACGUACGAUUCCAUUUUGUGCAGGAAAUUAUUGAUGAGGGGAAAAUUUAUCUUCAGAAGAUCAAGAUUGCAGAUAAUCCCGCAGAUAUGAUGACCGAGGUAGUAACAGCAACCAAGUUCGAACAUUGUUUGAACUUGAUCAAUAUCCUACAAGUUUAACAGUUGAAGAAGGCACUAUCAAGUAUUGUUGUCAAAGGUAGAAAGAAUUGUGUGAAGAUAAGAUUAUCCUAAUCAAAUCUUCAAGGUGGAGAUUAUUAGAAGCUACCCAUAUAUUUGAAAAGUCAAAGAUAUAGGUGUCAGAAAGUUGGAACCGAAAAUAAGAGAAUUUAUGGCACCGAAAUUUGGUUUGAAAUUUGGCAUGGAAUAAUUGCAAUUUUGGUCCCUAAUUGUAUAGGGACUUUGCAAGUUGGCCCUUGAACCUCAACUAUAAAUAGGCCUAACUAUUUCUCAUUUUCUUCAUCCCAUAUUUGUUAUUCUCUACUUAAAGCAUUAUUUUCUCUCCCUAUUUGUAAAUUUCACUUGUAUUUUUGGAGUGAUAUAUAUUUGGUAGUGCCCGAGGACGUAGGUAAAAUUUUCUGAACCUCGUUAAAAUUCUGGUGUUCUUUAUUAUUUAUUUUUGCAUAUUUUGUGAGUGUGAUUGUAGUGAUUUAUUGUGCUAUUAAAUUAUGAUAAAGGGAUAUUCUGGCUAGGAAAGACCUGAUACUUAAGUGAUCCUCGUAAUCCACCUCUCUUUCCUAGGAAUUGAACUUAGUGUGAUUUUUCAGUACAAUAAUUUUACUCUUUUACACGCUUUCGCGCAACAUUGUUCAAAGACGAUCUGGUGAUGACGGUAUACCGGUGAUAUUUUCUAGCUCGAACUCCAACGAUGGAGUUGUUCGCCUGUCCUCUGACAUAAACAUAGAGUUCGUUCCGCUCAGAACAAGACUUUGCCGAACAACAACGGUGUGGAAGGUCGAUGAUUACGACCAUUCAGCCGGAAAAUGGUGGGUGAUAACCGAU